AUAUCGCAGAGUACCGCGCAUAUGGGAAUCUUUUGCCAUGGCCACGUCGUAGCGAGAACAGCGGUUAGAGUAUAUAAUGCCUCUGAGCUCUAAGUCUCUGGUCGUAGGAGAACAAGUAUCGUGUAGAGAUAGGGCGGUAGCUUGAACGGCAUCUACACCGGAAAGGCCAGGGUUAAUAUCCUGGCGAGCAGCCGAGGGUAAUAACUGUAGGGUGGCCAGGCGUUGUCCGGAAUUUAUUGGGCGUAAACGGGUUCGCAGGCCGUUUUCUUAAUUUCGGAGUGUAGACAGCCCGCCUGCUUCAACCGGGGAGUGUUCAUUGAAACUGGGGACUUGAGUGGCAGAGGAGGAGAGGUGGAAUUCCACGUGUAGCGGUGAAUUCGGUAGAGAUGGGAGGACACCAGUUGGCGAAGGCGAUUCUUCUGGUCUGUAACUGACGCUGAGGAGCGAAAAGCGUGGGGAGCGAACAGGAUUAGAUACCCUGGUAGUCCACCGCCGUAAAACGAUGAGUGCUAAGUGUUAGGGGGUUUCCGCCCCUUUAGUGCUGCAGCUAACGCAUUAAGCACUCCCGCGUGGGGAGUACGGUCGCAAGACUGAAACUCAAAGGAAUUGACGGGGGCCCGCACAAGCGGUGGAGCAUGUGGUUUAAUUCGAAGCAACGCGAAGAACCUUACCAGGUCUUGACAUCCUCUGACAAUCCUAGAGAUAGGACGUCCCCUUCGGGGGCAGAGUGACAGGUGGUGCAUGGUUUCGUCAGCUCGUGUCGUGAGAUGUUGGGUUAAGUCCCGCAACGAGCGCAACCCUUGAUCUUAGUUGCCAGCAUUCAGUUGGGCACUCUAAGGUGACUGCCGGUGACAAACCGGAGGAAGGUGGGGAUGACGUCAAAUCAUCAUGCCCCUUAUGACCUGGGCUACACACGUGCUACAAUGGACAGAACAAAGGGCAGCGAAACCGCGAGGUUAAGCCAAUCCCACAAAUCUGUUCUCAGUUCGGAUCGCAGUUUGCAACUCGACUGCGUGAAGCGGGAAUCGCUAGUAAUCGCGGAUCAGCAUGCCGCGGUGAAUACGUUCCCGGGCCUUGUACACACCGCCCGUCACACCACGAGAGUUUGUAACACCCGAAGUCGGUGAGGUAACCUUUUAGGAGCCAGCCGCCGAAGGUGGGACAGAUGAUUGGGGUGAAGUCGUAACAAGUAGCCUUGGA
This 1200-nucleotide ribosomal RNA is filed under the name Bacillus subtilis. RNAcentral describes it as "bacterial SSU rRNA". It matches the Rfam family "Bacterial small subunit ribosomal RNA", at positions 326 to 1506 of the family's 1533-position model. Lineage: Bacteria; Bacillati; Bacillota; Bacilli; Caryophanales; Bacillaceae. The record is from RNAcentral.